UACGGGGGGGGCAAGCGUUGUUCGGAAUUACUGGGCGUAAAGGGCUCGUAGGUGGCCAACUAAGUCAGACGUGAAAUCCCCAGGCUUAACCGGGGAACUGCGUCUGAUACUGGAUGGCUUGAGAUUGGGAGAGGGAUGCGGAAUUCCAGGUGUAGCGGUGAAAUGCGUAGAUAUCUGGAGGAACACCGGUGGCGAAGGCGGCAUCCUGGACCAACACUGACGCUGAGGAGCGAAAGCCAGGGGAGCAAACGGG
This 253-nucleotide ribosomal RNA is filed under the name uncultured bacterium. RNAcentral's name for it is "partial 16S ribosomal RNA". It matches the Rfam family "Bacterial small subunit ribosomal RNA", at positions 524 to 776 of the family's 1533-position model. The record is from RNAcentral.